AUUGAACGCUGGCGGCAGGCCUAACACAUGCAAGUCGAGCGGAUGAAGGGAGCUUGCUCCUGGAUUCAGCGGCGGACGGGAGAGUAAUGCCUAGGAAUCUGCCUGGUAGUGGGGGAUAACGUCCGGAGACGGGCGCUAAUACCGCAUACGUCCUGAGGGAGAAAGUGUGGGAUCUUCGGACCUUACGCUAUCAGAUGAGCCUAGGUCGGAUUAGCUAGUUGGUGGGGUAAAGGCCUACCAAGGCGACGAUCCGUAACUGGUCUGAGAGGAUGAUCAGUCACACUGGAACUGAGACACGGUCCAGACUCCUACGGGAGGCAGCAGUGGGGAAUAUUGGACAAUGGGCGCAAGCCUGAUCCAGCCAUGCCGCGUGUGUGAAGAAGGUCUUCGGAUUGUAAAGCACUUUAAGUUGGGAGGAAGGGCAGUAAGUUAAUACCUUGCUGUUUUGACGUUACCAACAGAAUAAGCACCGGCUAACUUCGUG
RNAcentral lists this ribosomal RNA (484 nucleotides) under uncultured bacterium. Its description in RNAcentral is "partial 16S ribosomal RNA". It matches the Rfam family "Bacterial small subunit ribosomal RNA", at positions 30 to 507 of the family's 1533-position model. The record is from RNAcentral.